GAUCUGGUCAGAACGAACGCUGGCGGCGCGUUUAAGCAUGCAAGUCGAGCGGCAAGGGCCUUCGGGCCCCUAGAGCGGCGGACGAGUGAGUAACACGUGGACAAUCUGCCCCCCGGCCCGGGAUAGCCCAGGGAAACCUGGAUUAAUACCGGAUGAGACGGGACCCGCGAUGGCGGGAUCCGGGAAAGGCGCUGCGGCGCCGCCGGGGGAUGAGUCUGCGUCCCAUUAGCUAGACGGCGGGGUAACGGCCCACCGUGGCGACGAUGGGUAGCCGGCCUGAGAGGGUGGACGGCCACAUUGGAACUGAGACACGGUCCAGACUCCUACGGGAGGCAGCAGCUAAGAAUCUUCCGCAAUGGGCGAAAGCCUGACGGAGCGACGCCGCGUGAACGAAGAAGGCCGUGAGGUUGUAAAGUUCUUUUCGGGAGGGGGAACAACCGUGGCAGGGAAUGGCCGCGGGAUGACGUGAAUCCCGGAAUAAGCCCUGGCUAACUACGUGCCAGCCGCUGC
RNAcentral lists this ribosomal RNA (510 nucleotides) under uncultured bacterium. RNAcentral describes it as "bacterial SSU rRNA". It matches the Rfam family "Bacterial small subunit ribosomal RNA", at positions 15 to 518 of the family's 1533-position model. The record is from RNAcentral.